RNAcentral lists this ribosomal RNA (500 nucleotides) under uncultured bacterium. RNAcentral's name for it is "bacterial SSU rRNA". It matches the Rfam family "Bacterial small subunit ribosomal RNA", at positions 25 to 518 of the family's 1533-position model. The record is from RNAcentral.
CAGAACGAACGCUGGCGGCGCGUUUAAGCAUGCAAGUCGAGCGGCAAGGGCCUUCGGGCCCUAGAGCGGCGGACGGUGAGUAACACGUGGACAAUCUGCCCCCCGGUCCGGGAUAGCCCAGGGAAACCUGGAUUAAUACCGGAUGAGACGGGACCCGCGGAGGCGGGACCCGGGAAAGGCGCUACGGCGCCGCCGGGGGAUGAGUCUGCGUCCCAUUAGCUAGACGGCGGGGUAACGGCCCACCGUGGCGACGAUGGGUAGCCGGCCUGAGAGGGUGGACGGCCACAUUGGAACUGAGACACGGUCCAGACUCCUACGGGAGGCAGCAGCUAAGAAUCUUCCGCAAUGGGCGAAAGCCUGACGGAAGCGACGCCGCGUGAACGAAGAAGGCCGUGAGGUUGUAAAGUUCUUUUCGGGAGGGGAACAACCGUGGCAGGGAAUGGCCGCGGGAUGACGUGAAUCCCGGAAUAAGCCCCGGCUAACUACGUGCCAGCCGCCGC